This 1286-nucleotide ribosomal RNA is filed under the name Arthrobacter sedimenti. RNAcentral describes it as "bacterial SSU rRNA". It matches the Rfam family "Bacterial small subunit ribosomal RNA", at positions 107 to 1403 of the family's 1533-position model. The record is from RNAcentral. Lineage: Bacteria; Bacillati; Actinomycetota; Actinomycetes; Micrococcales; Micrococcaceae.
UGAGUAACACGUGAGUAACCUGCCCUUGACUCUGGGAUAAGCCUGGGAAACUGGGUCUAAUACCGGAUAUGACCGUCCAUCGCAUGGUGGUUGGUGGAAAGCUUUUGUGGUUUUGGAUGGACUCGCGGCCUAUCAGCUUGUUGGUGGGGUAAUGGCCUACCAAGGCGACGACGGGUAGCCGGCCUGAGAGGGUGACCGGCCACACUGGGACUGAGACACGGCCCAGACUCCUACGGGAGGCAGCAGUGGGGAAUAUUGCACAAUGGGCGCAAGCCUGAUGCAGCGACGCCGCGUGAGGGAUGACGGCCUUCGGGUUGUAAACCUCUUUCAGUAGGGAAGAAGCCGCAAGGUGACGGUACCUGCAGAAGAAGCGCCGGCUAACUACGUGCCAGCAGCCGCGGUAAUACGUAGGGCGCAAGCGUUAUCCGGAAUUAUUGGGCGUAAAGAGCUCGUAGGCGGUUUGUCGCGUCUGCCGUGAAAGUCCGGGGCUCAACUCCGGAUCUGCGGUGGGUACGGGCAGACUAGAGUGAUGUAGGGGAGACUGGAAUUCCUGGUGUAGCGGUGAAAUGCGCAGAUAUCAGGAGGAACCCGAUGGCGAAGGCAGGUCUCUGGGCAUUAACUGACGCUGAGGAGCGAAAGCAUGGGGAGCGAACAGGAUUAGAUACCCUGGUAGUCCAUGCCGUAAACGUUGGGCACUAGGUGUGGGGGACAUUCCACGUUUUCCGCGCCGUAGCUAACGCAUUAAGUGCCCCGCCUGGGGAGUACGGCCGCAAGGCUAAAACUCAAAGGAAUUGACGGGGGCCCGCACAAGCGGCGGAGCAUGCGGAUUAAUUCGAUGCAACGCGAAGAACCUUACCAAGGCUUGACAUGAACCAGACCGGGCUGGAAACAGUCCUUCCCCUUUGGGGUUGGUUUACAGGUGGUGCAUGGUUGUCGUCAGCUCGUGUCGUGAGAUGUUGGGUUAAGUCCCGCAACGAGCGCAACCCUCGUUCCAUGUUGCCAGCGGGUAGUGCCGGGGACUCAUGGGAGACUGCCGGGGUCAACUCGGAGGAAGGUGGGGACGACGUCAAAUCAUCAUGCCCCUUAUGUCUUGGGCUUCACGCAUGCUACAAUGGCCGGUACAAAGGGUUGCGAUACUGUGAGGUGGAGCUAAUCCCAAAAAGCCGGUCUCAGUUCGGAUUGGGGUCUGCAACUCGACCCCAUGAAGUCGGAGUCGCUAGUAAUCGCAGAUCAGCAACGCUGCGGUGAAUACGUUCCCGGGCCUUGUACACACCGCCCGUCAAGUC